AAAGAAUUUAAAGAGUGCACUUCAUUGUGGCUCGACAUUUUCUACCAUUCACCCUAGUGCACUGUAAUACCCUUUUUUAUUAGACUCUACAAAGUUAUUGAAUGUAACACUUUUUUAUAAAGAAAUAAAACUUUUAACAACGGAUCUCUUGGCUCUCGCAACGAUGAAGAACGCAGCGAAAUGCGAUAAGUAAUGUGAAUUGCAGAAUUCAGUGAAUCAUCAAAUCUUUGAACGCACCUUGCGCCCUUUGGUAUUCCGAAGGGCACACCUGUUUGAGUGUCAUUAAUCUCUCAACCCUAACAUUUUUUUAUUAGAAUGGUAGUGGCUGGAUGUUGAGCGUUGCUGGACCUUUUUUGGUUCAGCUCGCUUUAAAAUUAUGAGCAGGCUCCUACCAUUUCGGACUGACUCAACGUGAUAAGAAAUUUCGUUGAGGACGCUUUACAGCGGCCGAAUUGUAGGGAAAUGCCGCUGCUAGUUGACCCUUAUAUUUUAGACCUCAAAUCAGGUGGGACUACCCGCUGAACUUAA
Molecule: ribosomal RNA, 528 nt
Filed under: uncultured fungus
Lineage: Eukaryota; Fungi
Description: eukaryotic LSU rRNA
Rfam family: 5.8S ribosomal RNA (bases 129-282)
Source: RNAcentral